UACGUAGGGGGCUAGCGUUGUCCGGAAUCAUUGGGCGUAAAGAGCGCGUAGGCGGCCAGAUAAGUCCGGUGUGAAAGUCACAGGCUCAACCUGUGAAUGCCGCUGGAAACUGUCUGGCUAGAGUCCGGAAGGGGCGAGUGGAAUUCCUGGUGUAGCGGUGAAAUGCGCAGAUAUCAGGAGGAACACCGGUGGCGAAGGCGGCUACCUGGACAGAAACUGACGCUGAGGCGCGAAAGCUAGGGGAGCAAACAGG
This 253-nucleotide ribosomal RNA is filed under the name uncultured bacterium. RNAcentral describes it as "partial 16S ribosomal RNA". It matches the Rfam family "Bacterial small subunit ribosomal RNA", at positions 524 to 776 of the family's 1533-position model. The record is from RNAcentral.